Molecule: ribosomal RNA, 497 nt
Filed under: uncultured bacterium
Lineage: Bacteria
Description: partial 16S ribosomal RNA
Rfam family: Bacterial small subunit ribosomal RNA
Source: RNAcentral
GAUGAACGCUGGCGGCGUGCCUAAUACAUGCAAGUCGAGCGAACAGACGAGGAGCUUGCUCCUCUGACGUUAGCGGCGGACGGGUGGGUAACAGGUGGAUAACCUACCUAUAAGACUGGGAUAACUUCGGGAAACCGGAUCGAAUACCGGAUAAUAUAUUGAACCGCAUGGUUCAAUAGUGAAAGACGGCUUUGCUGUCACUUUUAGAUGGAUCCGCGCCGCAUUAACUAGUUGGUAAGGUAACGGCUUACCAAGGCAAUGAUGCGUAGCCGACCUGAGAGGGUGCGAAGCAACACUGGAACAGAGACACGGUACAGUAUCCUAAAGGAGGCAGCACUAGAAACUAUUCCGACAUGCGCAAAAGCUUGACGGAGCAUCACCGCGUGAAUGAUGAACGUCUUCGGAUCCUAAAACACUGUUAUUAGGAAAGAAAAAAUGUGUAAGUAAAUAUGCACGUCUUGACGGUCCCUAAUCAGCCAGCCACGGCUCACUACGUG